GAUGAACGCUGGCGGCGUGCCUAAUACAUGCAAGUCGAGCGAACAGACGAGGAGCUUGCUCCUUUGACGUUAGCGGCGGACGGGUGAGUAACACGUAGGUAACCUACCUAUAAGACUGGGAUAACUUCGGGAAACCGGAGCUAAUACCGGAUAAUAUUUCGAACCGCAUGGUUCGAUAGUGAAAGAUGGCUUUGCUAUCACUUAUAGAUGGACCUGCGCCGUAUUAGCUAGUUGGUAAGGUAACGGCUUACCAAGGCAACGAUACGUAGCCGACCUGAGAGGGUGAUCGGCCACACUGGAACUGAGACACGGUCCAGACUCCUACGGGAGGCAGCAGUAGGGAAUCUUCCGCAAUGGGCGAAAGCCUGACGGAGUAACGCCGCGUGAGUGAUGAAGGUCUUCGGAUCGUAAAACUCUGUUAUUAGGGAAGAACAAACGUGUAAGUAACUGUGCACGUCUUGACGGUACCUAAUCAGAAAGCCACGGCUAACUACGUG
This 497-nucleotide ribosomal RNA is filed under the name uncultured bacterium. RNAcentral describes it as "partial 16S ribosomal RNA". It matches the Rfam family "Bacterial small subunit ribosomal RNA", at positions 28 to 507 of the family's 1533-position model. The record is from RNAcentral.